CCAUGUCUAGUACAUUGUCCAUAAGUACUUAUUCUGUCCGACCAAAGUAAAGAGUUAACAGUAGACGAUCACGUCUAGACUAUGGACACAUGCAAACACGAUUUGCAAAGACCCAAUAGUGAUCCCCGAGAACAAUAUGGUUCACAUUAUUUAGCACACAUGCUUUACCGGGACACUCGAUGUCAAGAGACAUGAGAAACGACCUAAGAGGUCAAAGUGGUCUAGAUACGGCUUAGUAAUGAACUUGGCCGAUUACUCCCUUC
This 263-nucleotide long non-coding RNA is filed under the name Brassica napus (rape). Its description in RNAcentral is "long non-coding RNA (BNAP_LNC016329)". The record is from RNAcentral. Lineage: Eukaryota; Viridiplantae; Streptophyta; Magnoliopsida; Brassicales; Brassicaceae.